GGAGUAAUAGUUUAAUGUAAUGCUGCUUUUGUAAUGCAGAGGUGUGGUUUGAUACUGCUUCU
This 62-nucleotide transfer RNA is filed under the name Plagiorchis elegans. RNAcentral's name for it is "tRNA-Thr". The record is from RNAcentral. Lineage: Eukaryota; Metazoa; Platyhelminthes; Trematoda; Plagiorchiida; Plagiorchiidae.